CCAUGAGAGCCUCUCCAACGCAGCUGCUGAAAGUGAAUUUUUCCUCUCAUAUUAGCAACUCCAACGCGAUUGCUAUAUCAACAGGUAGAAUAGCAUUUCUUCAAAUGCUAUGCUAUUUCUACACAUUCUAUCAAAAAGCUAAAAUGUUGUUGAAGGUACAUAUAACCGUUAGCCAACGGCUAUCUGCACUUGCCUCUUCCUCUUAAAAAAACUGAUGCAAGAAAAUAGAGCAACAUGAAAUCUCAAAGCACCUUACCUUGAAGAAGAAAAGCUGCCUUUGAUUGUCCCAGUCCUGCCCGGGUGAUUAAUUAGCUUCCCUUUUAGCUUCCAGUCGUGUGUGUGCUAAUCUCAAAGCACCUUGCUUCCAGUUGUGUAACCCUGCUGGGUUGAGACUGAAAUCGUGUGGGUUUAGUGGAGGAGGGAAAGUUUGUUGGCUGACAUGGGUGGUUUUGAGCUAAGCUGAAAAUCGUGUGGAGUACGCUGAAGGGAGAAGAUGAAGCAAAAGAAAAUUGUUGUUUUAUUUUAUUCAAAGUUUUUAUGGUCAAGGAUUGCCUCCUUUCCAUCCCCUGUUUUCAACAUUUAGCUCUUUCAUUUAGCAUUUCUCAUCGGAGAUUCUCUGUCGGCCAAGUUUGGGAAUUUGUAGACAUUUCUCAAAGACAUCGCUUCUUUUUACUGGACACAGCACUCCAACCUCUGUUAUCACAGCAAGCUGGACAACGAGAAACAUUCUCUUUCGUUGCUUUCACUUUGCAUUGAAGGGCUGCUGUGUGUAGCUGUUCUCUUAGAGCUGCCUCGUGCUACGCUGCAUCUUCCUCUCCGUUGGUCAUCAAAUAAUUAAAUGGAUGAAAUCAAUGAAUUUCAUUUUGUCAAAUAAUUAUCUAAAACUCUCAACUUAAAUCUAUGAAUUGAGAUUUUAAAAGAUCAUUUAUAAUAUAUUCUAAAAUUUAAAUAAAAAAAUUUAAAUUCAUAACUAUUUAAUUAUCAUGAUUUUAAUAUCAUAUUAAUGAAUUAUAUGAUAUAAUAGAUUAAAGUCUCAUAUAAGAUUUAUGUGAACAUGUUUUCUACUUUAACUUUUCAAGUAUACAUGAAGAUUUGUGUUAUUGUUUGAAGUUUAUUACCGACUAAAAAUAUAUAUAUUUUUUUUAUGAUAUUGUGUUUUUUAAUAAAGAAUUGUUAUUUUCCUUAGAUUUUUAAUUGUUAUACAAAUAAUAAUAAAAGUUAAACUUGAAAUUUCAAGCCCUCAACCUACUCAAAGUCUUUACAAAUCAUUGAAAAAAGAUUCAUCUUUUGAGCAAUAGCUUAAUUAGUUAGAUUUUUUAUUAUUAGUAAUGAAUGA
This 1336-nucleotide long non-coding RNA is filed under the name Populus trichocarpa (black cottonwood). Its description in RNAcentral is "long non-coding RNA (PTRI_LNC003153)". The record is from RNAcentral. Lineage: Eukaryota; Viridiplantae; Streptophyta; Magnoliopsida; Malpighiales; Salicaceae.